RNAcentral lists this ribosomal RNA (231 nucleotides) under uncultured bacterium. Its description in RNAcentral is "partial 16S ribosomal RNA". It matches the Rfam family "Bacterial small subunit ribosomal RNA", at positions 28 to 258 of the family's 1533-position model. The record is from RNAcentral.
GACGAACGCUGGCGGCGUGCUUAACACAUGCAAGUCGAGCGGUAAGGCCCUUUCGGGGGUACGACGAGCGGCGAACGGGUGAGUAACACGUGGGUGACCUGCCCUCAGCUCUGGGAUAAGCCCGGGAAACGUGGGUCUAAUACCGGAUAUGACUUCAUGACGCAUGUUGUGGAGUGGAAAGCCUUGUGCGGCUGAGGAUGGGCCCGCGGCCUAUCAGCUUGUUGGUGGGGU